This 443-nucleotide ribosomal RNA is filed under the name uncultured bacterium. RNAcentral describes it as "partial 16S ribosomal RNA". It matches the Rfam family "Bacterial small subunit ribosomal RNA", at positions 338 to 795 of the family's 1533-position model. The record is from RNAcentral.
CCUACGGGUGGCAGCAGUGGGGAAUAAUAGGCAAUGGGCGCAAGCCUGACCGAGCAACGCCGCGUGAAGGAAGAAGGCUUUCGGGUUGUAAACUUCUUUUCUGAGGGACGAAGAAAGUGACGGUACCUCAGGAAGAAGCCACGGCUAACUACGUGCCAGCAGCCGCGGUAAUACGAAGGUGGCAAGCGUUAUACGGAUUUAUUGGGUGUAAAGGGCGUGUAGGCGGGAAAGCAAGUCAGAGGUGAAAACUCAGGGCUCAACCCUGAGCCUGCAUUUGAAACUGUUUUUCUUGAGUGCUGGAGAGGCAAUCGGAAUUCCGUGUGUAGCAGUGAAAUGCGUAGAUAUACGGAGGAACACCAGUGGCGAAGGCGGAUUGCUGGACAGUAACUGACGCUGAGGCGCGAAGGCGUGGGGAGCAAACGGGAUUAGAUACCCGAGUAGUC